Molecule: non-coding RNA, 79 nt
Organism: Paramarasmius palmivorus
Lineage: Eukaryota; Fungi; Basidiomycota; Agaricomycetes; Agaricales; Marasmiaceae
Source: the annotation of a GenBank genome assembly
ACACCGUUGGUGAAGUGGUUAUCAUGCUUGCCUUCCAAUUGAUUAGCAAGCGGCUCGGGUUCGAUUCCCGAACGGUGUA